This 352-nucleotide ribosomal RNA is filed under the name uncultured Mycobacterium sp. RNAcentral's name for it is "bacterial SSU rRNA". It matches the Rfam family "Bacterial small subunit ribosomal RNA", at positions 997 to 1351 of the family's 1533-position model. The record is from RNAcentral. Lineage: Bacteria; Bacillati; Actinomycetota; Actinomycetes; Mycobacteriales; Mycobacteriaceae.
ACGGCAGAGAUGUCGUUUCCCUUGUGGCCUGUGUGCAGGUGGUGCAUGGCUGUCGUCAGCUCGUGUCGUGAGAUGUUGGGUUAAGUCCCGCAACGAGCGCAACCCUUGUCUCAUGUUGCCAGCACGUAAUGGUGGGGACUCGUGAGAGACUGCCGGGGUCAACUCGGAGGAAGGUGGGGAUGACGUCAAGUCAUCAUGCCCCUUAUGUCCAGGGCUUCACACAUGCUACAAUGGCCGGUACAAAGGGCUGCGAAGCCGUGAGGUGGAGCGAAUCCUUUAAAGCCGGUCUCAGUUCGGAUCGGGGUCUGCAACUCGACCCCGUGAAGUUGGAGUCGCUAGUAAUCGCAGAUCA